CGCUGGCGGCGUGCCUAAUACAUGCAAGUCGAACGGUCUUUCUAUGGAAGCUUGCUUCCACUGAGAAGAUAGUGGCGAACGGGUGAGUAACACGUGGGUAACCUGCCCAUAAGAGGGGGAUAACAUCCGGAAACGGGUGCUAAUACCGCAUAGUUUUCUUGAUCGCAUGAUCGGGAAAGGAAAGACGGCCUUUGUGCUGUCGCUUAUGGAUGGACCCGCGGCGUAUUAGUUAGUUGGUGAGGUAACGGCUCACCAAGACGAUGAUACGUAGCCGACCUGAGAGGGUGAUCGGCCACAUUGGGACUGAGACACGGCCCAAACUCCUACGGGAGGCAGCAGUAGGGAAUCUUCCGCAAUGGACGAAAGUCUGACGGAGCAACGCCGCGUGAGUGAAGAAAGGGUUUUCGGAUCGUAAAACUCUGUUGUCAGAGAAGAACAAGUUGGAGAGUAACUGCUCCAGCCUUGACGGUAUCUGACCAGAAAGCCACGGCUAGCUACGUGCCAGCCGCCGC
Molecule: ribosomal RNA, 512 nt
Filed under: uncultured bacterium
Lineage: Bacteria
Description: bacterial SSU rRNA
Rfam family: Bacterial small subunit ribosomal RNA
Source: RNAcentral